CCUCCAUACUACUAUAAAUCUCCUCCACCACCCUCUCCGUCACCUCCACCUCCUUACUACUAUAAGUCUCCUCCACCUCCCUCACAUUCCCCUCCUCCACCAUACUAUUACAAGUCUCCUCCACCACCCUCUCCCUCACCCCCACCUCCAUAUUACUACAAAUCUCCUCCACCACCCUCUCCCUCACCCCCACCUCCAUAUUAUUACAAGUCUCCCCCACCACCCUCACCAUCCCCUCCCCCACCAUACUAUUAUAAGUCUCCUCCACCCCCACAUAUACACAAGGACCCACCAUACUAUUACAAGUCCCCACCACCACCUUCACCAUCUCCUCCACCACCUUACUACUAUAAAUCUCCCCCACCACCCUCACCAUCUCCUCCACCACCAUACUACUACAAAUCUCCCCCACCACCUUCACCAUCUCCUCCACCACCAUACUACUACAAAUCUCCUCCUCCUCCAUCCCCUAUCCCCCGUACACCUUACUACUACAAGUCCCCGCCACCACCUUCACCAUCUCCUCCACCACCAUACUAUUACAAAUCUCCUCCCCCGCCAUCUCCUAUUCCCCAGACACCUUACUACUACAAGUCCCCACCACCACCUAAGUAUCUUCCACCACCAUACUAUUAUAACUCUCCUCCUCCACAUGUUGUGUAUCCUCAACCACACCCUUACCACCACUCAUUGAUUGUGAAGGUAGUGGGUAAAGUCUACAGCUUUAGGUGCUAUGAUUGGGAGUAUCCUGAAAAGUCUCAUGACAAGAAACACCUCAAAGGUACAUCACUUACUAAGGAUUGAACUUCUAUACACUAAUGAGUUUAGAGCAUGCAUGAGACUUAAUCGUUUAUCUGUUAAAAUCUUAAUUGCUUUAAAAUUAUUCAUUAAUAUUUUGAUAAAAAAUACAACUCUCUGUUUAUUUUGAUAUAUAGAUAGAUAGAUAAUUCAAAUAUAAAAUUCAAAUUAACUUUUAUCCACACGACAAUGGGCCAAUUUGAUUAAGAUUUUCCUAAAAAAUGAUUUUAUAGUAUUUUAUCUUUUUAUAAUAUUUUUAAAAAUAAAACUUCAAAUAAAAAAUUAGUUUAAAUAGUUUAUUUUAAAAUAUCGUUUUAAGUAUUUCAUCUAUUUAAUUAUUUUUGUGGACAAUGAAAUUUCAAAAAAAUGAUUAAAAUAAAAUCUAUUUUAAGAAUCUUUUUGUAAAAAUUAUUUUUGAAAGAUAUCUUUUUUUUUUAAAUUAUUUUUUAUCAUAUUAAAAUCUCUAAUAAUAAAUGUUUAAGUUAUUGAAUGUCAAAAUUAUUUUUUUAGUUGGUAAUAAAUAAAUGUAAAACAAACUUUAAUAUUUUUAAGUAAAUUCUCAUAAAAAUUUAAAUAUAUAAAAUCAAUUACUUUUUAAAAAUUUUAAAUAAUCGAAUUCAAUAUAAAUUGCUUAGAACCGGCUACAACCUGCCAAGAAUAAAGAAAACAAUCAAUAUGUCAAAUUAAUAUGUACAAUCUACCUCGUUGGAAUUUAAUAAUUGCCCCUAAUUUAAUAUUCUACUUGAAAUUGAUUGUUUAACAUGCUGCUUUUAAUAAUAAAGACCUAUAUAGUAUGUGUUUCUAUAUUUUACUCGAUCCUAAAGUAAUUUUGUUAUGGGGCAGGUGCUGUUGUUGAGGUGACAUGCAAAGCAGGAAGCAAAAUCAUCAAGGCUUAUGGUAAAACUAAGAUCAACGGAAAGUAUAGCAUCACAGUUGAGGAUUUUGACUAUGUUAAAUAUGGUGCCACAGUGUGCAAAGCUGUGCUUUAUGCUCCACCUAAAAACUCACCUUUCAACAUACUUACAAAGCUAAACCAAGGAACCCCAUUGAAGUUGAAAUCCAAAGACAAGUAUGAGGUUGUGCUUCAGGCUAAGCCAUUUGCUUAUGCUUCAAAGAAACAUUUUAAAGAAUGUGAGAAGCCCAAGCCUUCACCAACUCCAUACUACUACAAGUCACCUCCUCCUCCGGUGCCAGUUUACAAGUACAACUCACCACCUCCACCGGUCCAUUAUUAUUCUCCUCCGUAUUACUACAAAUCACCACCUCCUCCUGUAAAAACACCGCCACAUCCUUACUAUUACAAGUCUCCACCACCACCAUCACCAUCUCCUCCUCCUCCAUAUUAUUACAAAUCUCCCCCACCUCCUUCACCAUCACCUCCUCCACCUUAUUAUUAUAAAUCUCCUCCUCCACCCAAAGUGAUAUCAAACCCUCCAUACUACUAUAAGUCACCACCUCCACCAUCACCGUCACCUCCUCCACCAUACUACUAUAAGUCCCCACCUCCACCAUCACCAUCUCCACCACCCCCAUACUAUUAUAAGUCACCACCUCCACCAUCACCAUCACCUCCUCCACCAUACUACUAUAAGUCCCCACCUCCACCAUCACCAUCACCUCCUCCACCAUACUACUAUAAGUCCCCACCCCCACCAUCACCAUCCCCACCACCACCUUACUAUUAUAAGUCCCCACCUCCACCCAAAGAGAUUUCACACCCUCCAUACUACUAUAAAUCACCACCCCCACCAUCACCGUCACCUCCUCCACCAUACUACUAUAAGUCCCCACCCCCACCAUCACCAUCCCCACCACCACCUUAUUAUUAUAAGUCUCCACCUCCACCCAAAGAGAUUUCACACCCUCCAUACUAUUAUAAGUCACCACCCCCGCCAUCACCAUCCCCUCCUCCGCCAUACUACUAUAAGUCACCACCCCCACCAU
Molecule: long non-coding RNA, 2742 nt
Filed under: Cicer arietinum (chickpea)
Lineage: Eukaryota; Viridiplantae; Streptophyta; Magnoliopsida; Fabales; Fabaceae
Description: long non-coding RNA (CARI_LNC001280)
Source: RNAcentral